GAGGGCAUAGCCCAGUUGUAGAGUGCGUGCUUAGCAUGCACAAGAUACUGGGUUCAAUCCCUAGUAUCUCCA
This 72-nucleotide transfer RNA is filed under the name Camelus bactrianus (Bactrian camel). It matches the Rfam family "tRNA". From Rfam's summary of the family: Transfer RNA (tRNA) molecules are approximately 80 nucleotides in length. The record is from Rfam by way of RNAcentral. Lineage: Eukaryota; Metazoa; Chordata; Mammalia; Artiodactyla; Camelidae. RNAcentral also lists the same sequence under 2 other names.